RNAcentral lists this long non-coding RNA (644 nucleotides) under Setaria viridis. RNAcentral describes it as "long non-coding RNA (SVIR_LNC003143)". The record is from RNAcentral. Lineage: Eukaryota; Viridiplantae; Streptophyta; Magnoliopsida; Poales; Poaceae.
GGAAAGGCAACAAGAGGGGGGUGAAUGGGAGCCGAUUCAAGUUUUCUCCAAGAACUUCGGCUAAAAACCCACAAGCCUCUCUUCUAGGAAAAUCAAGUUCACUUAGCUAUGCACAAACUACUGGACCUAGGAAUGAUGCUAGGAACCUAAUUUGAGAAUAGCGGAAGCAAGAAAGACUUCAAACAAGCUACGGAAGACAAACUUUGAAAACCAACACCUCUGUGCGGAAAAUUCCGGAGGAACCUUUGGAAAAUUCCGGACGUGCGAAAAUUUCCGGAGAAACCUUCAGAAAUUUCCGGAGGUCCGGAGAUUUCCGGAAUUAUGUCCGGAGAUUUUCGGAAUUCCAAAACAGCCUGCAUGAAGGUGGAAGAAAAAAUCUAAAACUCGAUCAAACGACCUCCAAAAAUCACAAAAUUGGAACAUAGCUUUCCAACAACAUAACAAACAUAUUCCCAAAAGAUCUCAAAAAGAUUAGUCAAACAAAGGGAAUAAAAUAUUUUGUUAAGAAUGGCGGUUUUUCAACCCUAGAACUUGAAUCUCCCCGAUCUAUGAACCCGUGAGGAGUUAGAUGAAUUCCUUUGGUUAAGGCCUCCAUUCCCAUAAGAAAAUCUUCGGUUCAAUACAUGGAUACAAGUUCAAAUCAU